RNAcentral lists this unclassified non-coding RNA (379 nucleotides) under uncultured Gammaproteobacteria bacterium. RNAcentral's name for it is "contains 16S-23S intergenic spacer region". The record is from RNAcentral. Lineage: Bacteria; Pseudomonadati; Pseudomonadota; Gammaproteobacteria.
UCCGGUUUGGCACCGGCAGUCCCUCCAGAGUCCCCGGCAUUACCCGCUGGUAACUGGAGGCGAGGGUUGCGCUCGUUGCGGGACUUAACCCAACAUCUCACGACACGAGCUGACGACAGCCAUGCAGCAUCUGUGUUCCAGUUCCCUUUCGGGCACAGCCACCUUUCAGUAGCCUUCCGGACAUGUCAAGGGUAGGUAAGGUUGUUCGCGUUGCAUCGAAUUAAUCCACAUCAUCCACCGCUUGUGCGGGUCCCCGUCAAUUCCUUUGAGUUUUAAUCUUGCGACCGUACUCCCCAGGCGGUCAACUUCACGCGUUAGCUGCGGUACCAAGAGAUUGCUCCCCCAACACCUAGUUGACAUCGUUUAGGGCGUGGACUAC